GAUGAACGCUGGCGGCGUGCCUAAUACAUGCAAGUCGAGCGAACAGACGAGGAGCUUGCUCCUCUGACGUUAGCGGCGGACGGGUGAGUAACACGUGGAUAACCUACCUAUAAGACUGGGAUAACUUCGGGAAACCGGAGCUAAUACCGGAUAAUAUAUUGAACCGCAUGGUUCAAUAGUGAAAGACGGUUUUGCUGUCACUUAUAGAUGGAUCCGCGCCGCAUUAGCUAGUUGGUAAGGUAACGGCUUACCAAGGCAACGAUACGUAGCCGACCUGAGAGGGUGAUCGGCCACACUGGAACUGAGACACGGUCCAGACUCCUACGGGAGGCAGCAGUAGGGAAUCUUCCGCAAUGGGCGAAAGCCUGACGGAGCAACGCCGCGUGAGUGAUGAAGGUCUUCGGAUCGUAAAACUCUGUUAUUAGGGAAGAACAAAUGUGUAGGUAACUAUGCACGUCUUGACGGUACCUAAUCAGAAAGCCACGGCUAACUACGUG
This 497-nucleotide ribosomal RNA is filed under the name uncultured bacterium. Its description in RNAcentral is "partial 16S ribosomal RNA". It matches the Rfam family "Bacterial small subunit ribosomal RNA", at positions 28 to 507 of the family's 1533-position model. The record is from RNAcentral.